GACAGAGGAUGCAAGCGUUAUCCGGAAUGAUUGGGCGUAAAGCGUCUGUAGGUGGCUUUUUAAGUUCGCCGUCAAAUCCCAGGGCUCAACCCUGGACAGGUGGUGGAAACUACCAAGCUAGAGUACGGUAGGGGCAGAGGGAAUUUCCGGUGGAGCGAUGAAAUGCAUUGAGAUCGGAAAGAACACCAACGGCGAAAGCACUCUGCUGGGCCGACACUGACACUGAGAGACGAAAGCUAGGGGAGCAAAUGGG
Molecule: ribosomal RNA, 253 nt
Filed under: uncultured bacterium
Lineage: Bacteria
Description: partial 16S ribosomal RNA
Rfam family: Bacterial small subunit ribosomal RNA
Source: RNAcentral